GGACGGGUGAGUAACACGUGGGUAACCUACCUAUAAGACUGGGAUAACUUCGGGAAACCGGAGCUAAUACCGGAUAACAUUUGGAACCGCAUGGUUCUAAAGUGAAAGAUGGUUUUGCUAUCACUUAUAGAUGGACCCGCGCCGUAUUAGCUAGUUGGUAAGGUAACGGCUUACCAAGGCAACGAUACGUAGCCGACCUGAGAGGGUGAUCGGCCACACUGGAACUGAGACACGGUCCAG
RNAcentral lists this ribosomal RNA (240 nucleotides) under uncultured Staphylococcus sp. RNAcentral describes it as "partial 16S ribosomal RNA". It matches the Rfam family "Bacterial small subunit ribosomal RNA", at positions 100 to 334 of the family's 1533-position model. Lineage: Bacteria; Bacillati; Bacillota; Bacilli; Caryophanales; Staphylococcaceae. The record is from RNAcentral.